Molecule: long non-coding RNA, 838 nt
Organism: Trichomycterus rosablanca
Lineage: Eukaryota; Metazoa; Chordata; Actinopteri; Siluriformes; Trichomycteridae
Exons: 4
Source: RefSeq, a predicted model, not a curated record
AAAAGGUCGAACCUAUUGGGAUGAGUGGACUUUGUUUGGAGCAGUAUGUCGGCCGACUGAAAGCUUGAUUAAACGUGCCGGAGCUGGAUGAAGGAGGAUUCGCAGUGUCGAUGACGGGUCAGCGAGAACUGUUAGAAGAAAAGACUGUGAGACGCUGGUGAAGAACUCUUACUCGGAGCGAGUUGGUGGCACAGUGAGGUUUCCGGACCACGUGAGACGCUGUGUUGAGGCUGGUCGCGGUUAUGGUGCCAAGGCUUCCGAACUUUUAAGAAUCCAGAUAUCGGGAUGAAAUAUGGGUCAGGAAAUGGGACUGUGUACGUAUGUGAUUACAUAAACAAAGGUUGUGUGUGUAGAAGGCAAAGAGGAACACUGCUGUCAUAGACUUACCCCACACUCAUGUCCUGAAGCAAACCUACACACAAACAUUAUAAACAGGGUAUGCAGUGUCGGCUAAUUUACGAGGCACCAGAACAUUAGUGAAAUGAGAACACCGAGCGUCAGGAUCUUGAGGGUAAUGGCGAUCAGGAACAGGAAAUUACUGGGAACCAUCAAUGUGCCCCUGAAUAAGCUUAAGGGAAUUCCAUGAUUGCUUGGUUAGAUGAACGUGUAACCAUGAAGUGAGGUGACGUCGAGGACUCCCACCCACCAAUCAGCUCAGAGAAGGCGCGGCUUAAAAUUUAAAAAACCUGAUGAGAAGGAUUGAUGGAGGAGGAAAAGCAUGGAGAAAGGAUAUUGUUAAAAAGGAAAUUGUUAACACCAUCUUAUCAUCUUGGCUCAUUAACCUCUGUUAUUAAUUGAGCGUUUUUUGCCAAACAAUAAAUAAUAACUACUAUAGUCA